GGGAUGUUUCCAUAUGGGACUCGAGGACUCCUCAGAAACAUAUGUUCCGGUGCUCAAGUACUGGAUUGACAUACAAUUAAGUGUUUAAUCGUUUGGCACCCACUUUUAAAUAGGCCGCUUUUAUAAGGAACAAUGACAUACGGUAGAUG
Non-coding RNA from Caenorhabditis elegans, 149 nucleotides. NCBI's taxonomy places the organism in Eukaryota, Metazoa, Nematoda, Chromadorea, Rhabditida, Rhabditidae. The record is from Ensembl.